AACGAACGCUGGCGGCGUGCCUAACACAUGCAAGUCGAGCGAGAAAGUUCCUUCGGGAACGAGUACAGCGGCGCACGGGUGAGUAACACGUAGGUAACCUACCCUCGAGCCCGGAAUAACCCGUCGAAAGAUGGGCUAAUGCCGGAUGAGACCACGGUGGUCAUGGCCACCGCGGUCAAAGAUGGCCUCUGUUCACAUGCUAUUACUCGGGGAUGGGCCUGCGCGCCAUUAGCUAAGUUGGUGAGGUAACGGCUCACCAAGGCGAUGAUGGCUAGCUGGUCUGAGAGGAUGGACCAGCCACACUGGGACUGACACACGGCCCAGACUCCUACGGGAGGCAGCAGUGGGGAUAUUGCGCAAUGGGCGAAAGCCUGACGCAGCGACGCCGCGUGGGUGAUGAAGGCC
RNAcentral lists this ribosomal RNA (405 nucleotides) under uncultured bacterium. RNAcentral describes it as "bacterial SSU rRNA". It matches the Rfam family "Bacterial small subunit ribosomal RNA", at positions 29 to 416 of the family's 1533-position model. The record is from RNAcentral.